Non-coding RNA from Danio rerio (zebrafish), 203 nucleotides. Lineage: Eukaryota; Metazoa; Chordata; Actinopteri; Cypriniformes; Danionidae. The record is from RefSeq and is a predicted model, not a curated record.
CAGAGGGUAGCACGUUUGCCUCACAGCAAGAAGGUCGCUGCUUCGAGCUUCGGCUGGAUUGGUGUACGCUGAUGGUCUGCUGAGAAUUCUCCGGAGUUGAAGGGAUCCUCCUGUCAGACAACCUCUCCAAAGUACAAUAGGACUAGGUUCCCACUACAAGGAUUAGAUUUGGCUACUGCAGUCCCGGUUUGGGCCAGCCUCAC